UGGGGGAUAUUGCACAAUGGGGGAAACCCUGAUGCAGCGACGCCGCGUGAGGGAAGACGGCCUUCGGGUUGAAAACCUCUGUCUUCGGGGACGAAUAAAUGACGGUACCCGAGGAGGAAGCCACGGCUAACUACGUGCCAGCAGCCGCGGUAAUACGUAGGUGGCAAGCGUUGUCCGGAAUUACUGGGUGUAAAGGGAGCGUAGGCGGGGAGGCAAGUUGAAUGUCUAAACUAUCGGCUCAACUGAUAGUCGCGUUCAAAACUGCCACUCUUGAGUGCAGUAGAGGUAGGCGGAAUUCCUAGUGUAGCGGUGAAAUGCGUAGAUAUUAGGAGGAACACCAGUGGCGAAGGCGGCCUACUGGGCUGUAACUGACGCUGAGGCUCGAAAGCGUGGGUAGCAAACAG
RNAcentral lists this ribosomal RNA (404 nucleotides) under uncultured bacterium. RNAcentral describes it as "bacterial SSU rRNA". It matches the Rfam family "Bacterial small subunit ribosomal RNA", at positions 355 to 775 of the family's 1533-position model. The record is from RNAcentral.